GACGAACGCUGGCGGCGUGCUUAACACAUGCAAGUCGAGCGGUAAGGCCCUUUCGGGGGUACACGAGCGGCGAACGGGUGAGUAACACGUGGGUGACCUGCCCUCAGCUCUGGGAUAAGUCUGGGAAACUGGGUCUAAUACUGGAUAUGACUCCACGGUGCAUGUCGUGGGGUGGAAAGCCUUGUGCGGCUGAGGAUGGGCCCGCGGCCUAUCAGCUUGUUGGUGGGGUGANGGCCUACCAAGGCGACGACGGGUAGCCGGCCUGAGAGGGCGACCGGCCACACUGGGACUGAGACACGGCCCAGACUCCUACGGGAGGCAGCAGUGGGGAAUCUUGCGCAAUGGGCGAAAGCCUGACGCAGCGACGCCGCGUGAGGGAUGAC
Molecule: ribosomal RNA, 383 nt
Filed under: uncultured bacterium
Lineage: Bacteria
Description: bacterial SSU rRNA
Rfam family: Bacterial small subunit ribosomal RNA
Source: RNAcentral